RNA transcript from Oncorhynchus mykiss (rainbow trout), 2915 nucleotides. It is a transcript of the gene named spindle and centriole associated protein 1, with no coding region annotated. The record is from RefSeq and is a predicted model, not a curated record. Lineage: Eukaryota; Metazoa; Chordata; Actinopteri; Salmoniformes; Salmonidae.
UGUGGUGUCGUUUUAUUGGUAACUAGGAGGUUACACAUUUCACCCAGAAGCGCGCAACAACUGUUGAACACAGCGCCACUCCACAACGGAAAGAAAACAAUGAAUACAGCAAACUAACUAAACAUUUUUCUACAGUUAAUAACCUAGUUUGCCAGCAAGCUACAACUGCCUAGUUUAAGUGUAGCUUGCGUAUGACUUUCAUUGAAAAAACUCUUGGCAAACAACAUAGUUAGGUAGGCUAACGUUAGCCAGCUAAUCAGACAUUUUCUAGCUAGUUAUCGUUUUCUUCCCAGAUGUCGUUUACGAGGGUGGGCCGCUUACAGCACGGUCAAGGAAAACGACCUGCUGUGCGUCCCAAGAAGGCCAAUGCCCCGAAGAGAGAGUGGGUGAGCACCGUCCAUGACCUCUCUGUACACAAGGCUUCACCGGAGGAGCUGAAUCGUCGUCAUGAGAUGCACCGGUCCCAGAACCGAGUGGUGGCCCAGUGGGAGCUGAGAGAGAGAGCUCUGAGACACAGGAGGAAGAAGGACCUCCCUGGUAGCCCAGCUCCGCUAGACCGCGCCAGCCUCAACAUCAUCAGAGAGGUGUUCUCAGAUCAGUUUCAACUGCAGGACGUUCUGGCCCGGUCAGACAGAGCUAUGGCUGUGGUCAAAGACUUGUUUGGCGACGCGCCUCGCAGGCAGACCGGGUUCCCCAGUGUUACCAUGGCUCCAGACUGUGGCUCUGACUCAGACCUGCCUGUCCUGCAGAAACCAGAGGCCCCAACACAGCUCUCCCUCCUCAGCCAGUCCAUGAUGGACCCACAGGCUCUGAAUGAGCUGGAGGACUCUGUUGAAGACCAUAGUGAUGAAGAAACUGGCCAUUCUGCCUCUGUCAAUUUCAACUCCAACAUGGAUACCAGUUACAAGGUGUAUACCCGGAAAGUGAAAGCCAAGCCUUGUACUAGAGGAGGGAAGCAGCAAAGACCCCAGUGUAACUCCAACCUCCAGGGGGCAGGAGGAGACAGCCCCCCUCAGACUCCCAGUGCCUCAGGGGGAACCCAAGUACAAGCAGCUCUGAAUGCCACAGUUAAAGUCCAGCGGUUGGGGUCCAGACAGCCCCAACCCCAGCCUGAACCUGGGGAGCAUUUCACCCUGGUCACUCAGGUCCUGAACCCAGACCCUCCUCUCACCCGCUCAGGCAGGAAGAGCCGGUCCUCGAAAGCCAGUAGGGGGCGCAGUACUGAGUCAGGUCUGGAUGGCUCUACCCUCAGCUCUCUGAGUGGGAACCAGUCCAGCCUGGGGCUGCUGCAGGGCCUGCUGGGUCAGGUGGAGACAGAGCUGGAUGGCCUAGGGCCAGAGGAGCCUCCCAGAGCCCCAGGAGCAGGGGAAGGAGAGGGGACGACGGGGCCAAAGCACAGCACACAUGGCCUCACAGGCUUCUCUGUGGCUCUGGUGUCUACACUGGGCCGCCUGGCUAGACUACUCAGACAGAGAGAGGAGGAGACUCAGAGGGAGGGAAAGGAGAGGAGGCGGCUGGAGGUGGAGGUGAAGGAGCAGAGAGGAAUGAUAGACGCCCUCACCGCAGAGACCCUGACCCUGAGAGAGGAGAGCGCCGCCCUGCAGGCAGGUUUGCAGCAGCGAGCGUGUGAUCUGGAACAGAGGCUGGACACAGUGGUGCUGGUUCUGGGGGGAUUGGGGGUACUAGGAGGAGACGGGGACUAUGAGCCCCAAGAGACUGGCAGCAUAGCUACAGGCAGUGAGUGGGAACCGUCCUAUGAUGCAGACGCUCCUGUACCCUCCUAUGAACAGAAUCAGACAGGUCUCACUCUCAACCCUGCUGUGCUGCUCUCUCCACCACGUCAGAGAGACAAUCGGCCACACGGUCACACUUCAGCUGUUCAUUCCCUGGCUCUUCACCACGUUCCCUCUCUCCCUGUGACCCGGGGCUCCUGUGACGACCUCCAGACCUUCAGCUCCGCCCCCUCUCUCUUCAGCCUGCCCCGCCCUGCCCCUACACCCCCUCCAGCCGCCACCCCAGACCCUCUCCUCUGCGAUCCGUCCCAGGGUGCCAUGCUGUCUCAGAUUGCCGAGCUGACCCGUCAGAACGCCCUCAUACGGGAUCAGCUGGGGCAGUUCCACCCCGCUACUCCUCCCUCCGGGUCAGAGAUUUGUGAAGGUCAGAGUUCAGGCAGGGGGUUUGUCUCCAGCAGCACAGGGAGACUGACUCCCCAACAGGGCAUGGAGAAGAGAGGCUUCGUUCCCAGCAGUACAGGCAGAACAACACCCCAGCGUGAGACAGGGAGAGAGAGGGGGACAUGGUCCUGUGGUGGAGAGCAGCAAACACAGCAGUCUGUGGUUCGUGAGAGCCCAGGCUGUGAGAGCAGUGUGGAACAGCGUCUCCUAGAGCUCAACAGGCAGAGUGCAGCAGCCAGGAGCAGACUGCUGGAGCUUAUAGAACAACAGAGACAGAGCUCCUCCUCAGCCAGAGUAUCCCCUUCUGUCUCCCCCAUACCUCCACUGUCAGCAGGCCUGAGCCCAGAGUCAUCCAUGCUGCUGCCUGAACAGGACCCCUCCCCCCUGGGCAGCGGAGGUAGUAGACGGUGAUGUGGAGGAAGGGAUCAGAGGUCAGGGGAAUGAUGGUCAUCUUGACUGAAGAGGUCCUGUGUGUUUCAGGUCUGCUGGUGGGGUCUCUCCACAAAGCCUUGGAGGACAGUCCAGAGGCAGCAGGACUCCGGUGGACAAGCUGAAAGGAGAAGGCUGGUUUGCGUUGUCUACACAUGUAAGAUGAACAAGUUAAGAACUGAAUACAGAAACUCCCUGCAACUUUUGUAACUUUUAGUAGAGGUCACUUUAGACUUAAAAUGUUGUUUCUUUACCCUGUUUUUACCUAUGCAAUUUUCUUAUGGUUGUGAAUUAAAACUUUUGAUAACUGUG